CCUGGAAACUCCUACGGGAGGCAGCAGUGGGGAAUCUUCCGCAAUGGGCGAAAGCCUGACGGAGCAACGCCGCGUGAGUGAAGACGGCCUUCGGGUUGUAAAGCUCUGUUAUACGGGACGAAUAGUCUUGUGGUUAAUACCCAUGAGAAGUGACGGUACCGUAAGAGAAAGCCACGGCUAACUACGUGCCAGCAGCCGCGGUAAUACGUAGGUGGCAAGCGUUGUCCGGAAUUAUUGGGCGUAAAGGGCGCGCAGGCGGCUUCUUAAGUCUGUCUUAAAAGUGCAGGGCUUAACCCCGUGAUGAGAUGGAAACUGGGAAGCUCAGAGUAUCGGAGAGGUAAGCGGAAUUCCUAGUGUAGCGGUGAAAUGCGUAGAUAUUAGGAGGAACACCAGUGGCGAAAGCGGCUUUCUGGACGAAAACUGACGCUGAGGCGCGAAAGCUAGGGGAGCGAACGGGAUUAGAAACCCUAGUAGUCC
RNAcentral lists this ribosomal RNA (477 nucleotides) under uncultured bacterium. Its description in RNAcentral is "bacterial SSU rRNA". It matches the Rfam family "Bacterial small subunit ribosomal RNA", at positions 328 to 796 of the family's 1533-position model. The record is from RNAcentral.